This 468-nucleotide ribosomal RNA is filed under the name uncultured bacterium. Its description in RNAcentral is "partial 16S ribosomal RNA". It matches the Rfam family "Bacterial small subunit ribosomal RNA", at positions 28 to 507 of the family's 1533-position model. The record is from RNAcentral.
GACGAACGCUGGCGGCGUGCUUAACACAUGCAAGUCGAACGGAAAGGCCCUGCUUUUGUGGGGUGCUCGAGUGGCGAACGGGUGAGUAACACGUGAGUAACCUGCCCUUGACUUUGGGAUAACUUCAGGAAGCUGGGGCUAAUACCGGAUAGGAGCUCCUGCUGCAUGGUGGGGGUUGGAAAGUUUCGGCGGUUGGGGAUGGACUCGCGGCUUAUCAGUUUGUUGGUGGGGUAGUGGCUUACCAAGGCUUUGACGGGUAGCCGGCCUGAGAGGGUGACCGGCCACAUUGGGACUGAGAUACGGCCCAGACUCCUACGGGAGGCAGCAGUGGGGAAUAUUGCACAAUGGGCGGAAGCCUGAUGCAGCAACGCCGCGUGCGGGAUGACGGCCUUCGGGUUGUAAACCGCUUUCGCCUGUGACGAAGCGUGAGUGACGGUAAUGGGUAAAGAAGCACCGGCUAACUACGUG